Molecule: long non-coding RNA, 593 nt
Organism: Nyctereutes procyonoides (raccoon dog)
Lineage: Eukaryota; Metazoa; Chordata; Mammalia; Carnivora; Canidae
Exons: 4
Source: RefSeq, a predicted model, not a curated record
AAGAAAUUCUUCCUGCCAAAUGCUUCCUCUGACCUUCCCCAGUGUUGUCAAGAGUAAGGUAAGCUACUUGAAUAAGGCAAAUCAAUUACUCUUGUGGGAAUUGACUCUUGUGUGAAGUAGUAACUGUUGUUUAUAUCUGAGCACUUGUGGACACAUGGAGUUGGAAAGAUCUUCUGGAGUCGUCUAGCUCCACUUCUUCCAGCCUGUUCUUCAGCUCUCCUUUAUGGCAUAGUUACAUCCUCUGUGGUGGAACAGUAUCAUCAUUUGUGGCCAGUUUCUUCCAUUUCAAUGCAAUAUGGAAGUAAAAGGAAGUGCACUGGCUGGGUCACUUCUAGUGCUGUGUCAUACUUCCCCUGCUCUCAGGAAUCUACAGUUUCAUCAGAGACUUAGCUGUGCCUACCCUCAAGUGGAAACAAGAUAAUGUGAGGACUUUGCCAACAACCUGGAAACAUUCUGCAGGGCUUUGCAGCAGGGGAGAUGCUGAAGAAGGGGCAAACACAAAUUUGCAGCGCACGUACCAGUUUGUCCUCAGACAUCUCUUCAUGUUCAGACCACUAGAAUCUUGACCUACAGUGACUUCGGGCCAACCACCA